RNAcentral lists this ribosomal RNA (2882 nucleotides) under Acinetobacter baumannii AB4857. RNAcentral describes it as "bacterial LSU rRNA". It matches the Rfam family "Bacterial large subunit ribosomal RNA". The record is from RNAcentral. Lineage: Bacteria; Pseudomonadati; Pseudomonadota; Gammaproteobacteria; Moraxellales; Moraxellaceae.
UUAAGUGCAUGUGGUGGAUGCCUUGGCAGUCAGAGGCGAUGAAAGACGUGAUAGCCUGCGAAAAGCUCCGGGGAGGCGGCAAAUAUCCUUUGAUCCGGAGAUGUCUGAAUGGGGGAACCCACCUACUUUAAGGUAGGUAUUGCAACAUGAAUACAUAGUGUUGCAAGGCGAACGAGGGGAAGUGAAACAUCUCAGUACCCUUAGGAAAAGAAAUCAAUUGAGAUUCCCUCAGUAGCGGCGAGCGAACGGGGAUCAGCCCAUUAAGUUAUGUGUGUUUUAGUGGAACGCUCUGGGAAGUGCGAACGUAGAGGGUGAUAUUCCCGUACACGAAAGGGCACACAUAAUGAUGACGAGUAGGGCGAGGCACGUGAAACCUUGUCUGAAUAUGGGGGGACCAUCCUCCAAGGCUAAAUACUCCUGACUGACCGAUAGUGAACCAGUACCGUGAGGGAAAGGCGAAAAGAACCCCUGUGAGGGGAGUGAAAUAGAUCCUGAAACCGCAUGCAUACAAGCAGUGGGAGCACCUUCGUGGUGUGACUGCGUACCUUUUGUAUAAUGGGUCAGCGACUUAUAUUCAGUAGCGAGGUUAACCGUAUAGGGGAGCCGUAGAGAAAUCGAGUCUUAAUAGGGCGUUUAGUUGCUGGGUAUAGACCCGAAACCAGGCGAUCUAUCCAUGAGCAGGUUGAAGGUUGGGUAACACUAACUGGAGGACCGAACCCACUGUCGUUGAAAAGCCAGGGGAUGACUUGUUGGAUACGGGGUGAAAGGCUAAUCAAGCCUGGUGAUAGCUGGUUCUCCCCGAAAGCUAUUUAGGUAGCGCCUCGGACGAAUACCAUAGGGGGUAGAGCACUGUUUCGGCUAGGGGGUCAUCCCGACUUACCAAACCGAUGCAAACUCCGAAUACCUAUGAGUACUAUCCGGGAGACAGACUGCGGGUGCUAACGUCCGUAGUCAAGAGGAAACAAUCCAGACCGCCAGCUAAGGCCCCAAAAUCAUAGUUAAGUGGGAAACGAUGUGGGAAGGCAUAGACAGCUAGGAGGUUGGCUUAGAAGCAGCCACCCUUUAAAGAAAGCGUAAUAGCUCACUAGUCGAGUCGGCCUGCGCGGAAGAUGUAACGGGGCUAAAACUAUGUGCCGAAGCUGCGGAUGUAUACUUUGUAUACGUGGUAGGGGAGCGUUCUGUAAGCCGAUGAAGGUGUGUUGAGAAGCAUGCUGGAGGUAUCAGAAGUGCGAAUGCUGACGUGAGUAACGACAAAACGGGUGAAAAACCCGUUCGCCGAAAGACCAAGGGUUCCAGUCCAACGUUAAUCGGGGCUGGGUGAGUCGACCCCUAAGGCGAGGCCGAAAGGCGUAGUCGAUGGGAAAAUGGUUAAUAUUCCAUUACUUCUGUGUAAUGCGAUGAGAGGACGGAGAAGGCUAAAUCAGCCUGGCGUUGGUUGUCCAGGUGAAAGGAUGUAGGCAUGUAUCUUAGGCAAAUCCGGGGUACUCUAUGCUGAGAUCUGAUAGCAAGCUGUACUUGUACAGCGAAGUGGUUGAUGCCAUGCUUCCAGGAAAAGUCUCUAAGCUUCAGUUACACAGGAAUCGUACCCGAAACCGACACAGGUGGUCAGGUCGAGUAGACCAAGGCGCUUGAGAGAACUCUGCUGAAGGAACUAGGCAAAAUGGUACCGUAACUUCGGGAGAAGGUACGCUGUUGUUGGUGAUGGAACUCGCUUCCUGAGCUGACGACAGCCGCAGAAACCAGGCCGCUGCAACUGUUUAUUAAAAACAUAGCACUCUGCAAACACGAAAGUGGACGUAUAGGGUGUGAUGCCUGCCCGGUGCUGGAAGGUUAAUUGAUGGGGUUAGCGUAAGCGAAGCUCUUGAUCGAAGCCCCAGUAAACGGCGGCCGUAACUAUAACGGUCCUAAGGUAGCGAAAUUCCUUGUCGGGUAAGUUCCGACCUGCACGAAUGGCAUAAUGAUGGCGGCGCUGUCUCCAGCAGAGGCUCAGUGAAAUCGAAAUCGCUGUGAAGAUGCAGUGUACCCGCGGCUAGACGGAAAGACCCCGUGAACCUUUACUGCAGCUUGACACUGAACUUUGACCUUACUUGUGUAGGAUAGGUGGGAGGCUUUGAAGCUGGAACGCUAGUUCCAGUGGAGCCGUCCUUGAAAUACCACCCUGGUAAUGUUGAGGUUCUAACUCUGUCCCGUGAUCCGGGACGAGGACCGUGUCUGGUGGGUAGUUUGACUGGGGCGGUCUCCUCCUAAAGAGUAACGGAGGAGUACGAAGGUGCGCUCAGCGUGGUCGGAAAUCACGCGUAGAGUAUAAAGGCAAAAGCGCGCUUAACUGCGAGACCCACAAGUCGAGCAGGUACGAAAGUAGGUCUUAGUGAUCCGGUGGUUCUGUAUGGAAGGGCCAUCGCUCAACGGAUAAAAGGUACUCUGGGGAUAACAGGCUGAUACCGCCCAAGAGUUCAUAUCGACGGCGGUGUUUGGCACCUCGAUGUCGGCUCAUCUCAUCCUGGGGCUGAAGCAGGUCCCAAGGGUAUGGCUGUUCGCCAUUUAAAGAGGUACGCGAGCUGGGUUUAGAACGUCGUGAGACAGUUCGGUCCCUAUCUACCGUGGGCGCUGGAAAUUUGAGAGGAUCUGCUCCUAGUACGAGAGGACCAGAGUGGACGAACCUCUGGUGUACCGGUUGUGACGCCAGUCGCAUCGCCGGGUAGCUAUGUUCGGAAGGGAUAACCGCUGAAAGCAUCUAAGCGGGAAGCCUACCUCAAGAUAAGAUUUCCCUAGGACUUUAUGUCCUCUAAAGAGCCGUUCGAGACUAGGACGUUGAUAGGUUGGAUGUGGAAGCAUAGUGAUAUGUGAAGCUGACCAAUACUAAUUGCUCGUGAGGCUUGACU